RNAcentral lists this ribosomal RNA (475 nucleotides) under uncultured bacterium. RNAcentral's name for it is "bacterial SSU rRNA". It matches the Rfam family "Bacterial small subunit ribosomal RNA", at positions 28 to 507 of the family's 1533-position model. The record is from RNAcentral.
GACGAACGCUGGCGGCGUGCCUAACACAUGCAAGUCGAGCGGGGUUUAUUGGAUUAGCUUGCUAAACUGAUAGACCUAGCGGCGGACGGGUGAGUAACGCGUGAGCAACCUGCCUUGCACAGGGGGAUAACAACCGGAAACGGUUGCUAACACCGCAUGAGACCCCACUAUCGCAUGAUAGAGAGGUUAAAGGGCUUACCGGUGCAAGAUGGGCUCGCGUCCCAUUAGCUAGUUGGUAGGGUAACGGCCUACCAAGGCGACGAUGGGUAGCCGACCUGAGAGGGUGAUCGGCCACACUGGGACUGAGACACGGCCCAGACUCCUACGGGAGGCAGCAGUGGGGAAUAUUGCGCAAUGGGGGGAACCCUGACGCAGCAACGCCGCGUGAGUGAAGAAGGUUUUCGGAUCGUAAAGCUCUGUCAUUGGGGACGAAGGAGUGACGGUACCCAAGGAGGAAGCCCCGGCUAACUACGUG